GGUUAAGCGACUAAGCGUACACGGUGGAUGCCCUGGCAGUCAGAGGCGAUGAAGGACGUGCUAAUCUGCGAAAAGCGUCGGUAAGGUGAUAUGAACCGUUAUAACCGGCGAUGUCCGAAUGGGGAAACCCAGUGCAAUUCGUUGCACUAUCGUUAACUGAAUACAUAGGUUAACGAGGCGAACCGGGGGAACUGAAACAUCUAAGUACCCCGAGGAAAAGAAAUCAACCGAGAUUCCCCCAGUAGCGGCGAGCGAACGGGGAGCAGCCCAGAGUCUGAAUCAGCUUGUGUGUUAGUGGAACGGUCUGGAAAGUCCGACGGUACAGGGUGAUAGUCCCGUACACCAAAAUGCACAGGCUGUGAACUCGAAGAGUAGGGCGGGACACGUGGUAUCCUGUCUGAAUAUGGGGGGACCAUCCUCCAAGGCUAAAUACUCCUGACUGACCGAUAGUGAACCAGUACCGUGAGGGAAAGGCGAAAAGAACCCCGGCGAGGGGAGUGAAAAAGAACCUGAAACCGUGUACGUACAAGCAGUGGGAGCACCUUCGGGUGUGACUGCGUACCUUUUGUAUAAUGGGUCAGCGACUUAUAUUCUGUAGCAAGGUUAACCGUAUAGGGGAGCCGCAGGGAAACCGAGUCUUAACUGGGCGUUAAGUUGCAGGGUAUAGACCCGAAACCCGGUGAUCUAGCCAUGGGCAGGUUGAAGGUUGGGUAACACUAACUGGAGGACCGAACCGACUAAUGUUGAAAAAUUAGCGGAUGACUUGUGGCUGGGGGUGAAAGGCCAAUCAAACCGGGAGAUAGCUGGUUCUCCCCGAAAGCUAUUUAGGUAGCGCCUCGUGAACUCAUCUUCGGGGGUAGAGCACUGUUUCGGCUAGGGGGUCAUCCCGACUUACCAACCCGAUGCAAACUACGAAUACCGAAGAAUGUUAUCACGGGAGACACACGGCGGGUGCUAACGUCCGUCGUGAAGAGGGAAACAACCCAGACCGCCAGCUAAGGUCCCAAAGUCAUGGUUAAGUGGGAAACGAUGUGGGAAGGCACAGACAGCCAGGAUGUUGGCUUAGAAGCAGCCAUCAUUUAAAGAAAGCGUAAUAGCUCACUGGUCGAGUCGGCCUGCGCGGAAGAUGUAACGGGGCUAAACCAUGCACCGAAGCUGCGGCAGCGACACUAUGUGUUGUUGGGUAGGGGAGCGUUCUGUAAGCCUGCGAAGGUGACCUGUGAGGGUUGCUGGAGGUAUCAGAAGUGCGAAUGCUGACAUAAGUAACGAUAAAGCGGGUGAAAAGCCCGCUCGCCGGAAGACCAAGGGUUCCUGUCCAACGUUAAUCGGGGCAGGGUGAGUCGACCCCUAAGGCGAGGCCGAAAGGCGUAGUCGAUGGGAAACAGGUUAAUAUUCCUGUACUUGGUGUUACUGCGAAGGGGGACGGAGAAGGCUAUGUUAGCCCGGGCGACGGUUGUCCCGGUUUAAGCAUGUAGGCUGGUUGUCCAGGCAAAUCCGGAUAAUCAAGGCUGAGGUGUGAUGACGAGGCACUACGGUGCUGAAGUAACAAAUGCCCUGCUUCCAGGAAAAGCCUCUAAGCAUCAGGUAACAUCAAAUCGUACCCCAAACCGACACAGGUGGUCAGGUAGAGAAUACCAAGGCGCUUGAGAGAACUCGGGUGAAGGAACUAGGCAAAAUGGUGCCGUAACUUCGGGAGAAGGCACGCUGGUGUGUAGGUGAAGCCCCUGCGGGUGGAGCUGAGACCAGUCGAAGAUACCAGCUGGCUGCAACUGUUUAUUAAAAACACAGCACUGUGCAAACACGAAAGUGGACGUAUACGGUGUGACGCCUGCCCGGUGCCGGAAGGUUAAUUGAUGGGGUUAUCCGUAAGGAGAAGCUCUUGAUCGAAGCCCCGGUAAACGGCGGCCGUAACUAUAACGGUCCUAAGGUAGCGAAAUUCCUUGUCGGGUAAGUUCCGACCUGCACGAAUGGCGUAAUGAUGGCCAGGCUGUCUCCACCCGAGACUCAGUGAAAUUGAACUCGCUGUGAAGAUGCAGUGUACCCGCGGCAAGACGGAAAGACCCCGUGAACCUUUACUAUAGCUUGACACUGAACAUUGAGCCUUGAUGUGUAGGAUAGGUGGGAGGCUUUGAAGCGUGGACGCCAGUCUGCGUGGAGCCAACCUUGAAAUACCACCCUUUAAUGUUUGAUGUUCUAACGUUGGCCCCUUACCGGGGUUGCGGACAGUGUCUGGUGGGUAGUUUGACUGGGGCGGUCUCCUCCCAAAGCGUAACGGAGGAGCACGAAGGUUAGCUAAUCCUGGUCGGACAUCAGGAGGUUAGUGCAAUGGCAUAAGCUAGCUUGACUGCGAGCGUGACGGCGCGAGCAGGUGCGAAAGCAGGUCAUAGUGAUCCGGUGGUUCUGAAUGGAAGGGCCAUCGCUCAACGGAUAAAAGGUACUCCGGGAUAACAGGCUGAUACCGCCCAAGAGUUCAUAUCGACGGCGGUGUUUGGCACCUCGAUGUCGGCUCAUCACAUCCUGGGGCUGAAGUAGGUCCCAAGGGUAUGGCUGUUCGCCAUUUAAAGUGGUACGCGAGCUGGGUUUAGAACGUCGUGAGACAGUUCGGUCCCUAUCUGCCGUGGGCGCUGGAGAAUUGAGGGGGCUGCUCCUAGUACGAGAGGACCGGAGUGGACGCAUCACUGGUGUUCGGGUUGUCAUGCCAAUGGCACUGCCCGGUAGCUAAAUGCGGAAGAGAUAAGUGCUGAAAGCAUCUAAGCACGAAACUUGCCCCGAGAUGAGUUCUCCCUGAGACUUUAAGUCUCCUGAAGGAACGUUGAAGACGACGACGUUGAUAGGCCGGGUGUGUAAGCGCAGCGAUGCGUUGAGCUAACCGGUACUAAUGAACCGUGAGGCUUAACCUU
Molecule: ribosomal RNA, 2900 nt
Filed under: Klebsiella pneumoniae
Lineage: Bacteria; Pseudomonadati; Pseudomonadota; Gammaproteobacteria; Enterobacterales; Enterobacteriaceae
Description: 23S ribosomal RNA
Rfam family: Bacterial large subunit ribosomal RNA
Source: RNAcentral